Molecule: small nucleolar RNA, 107 nt
Organism: Hibiscus syriacus
Lineage: Eukaryota; Viridiplantae; Streptophyta; Magnoliopsida; Malvales; Malvaceae
Source: RefSeq, a predicted model, not a curated record
AAAGCAUGCAUUGGGCAUUUGUGCAACAAAUACUAAAAUUGUUCUCAUUCUUCAUAAAGGUUCUUGUCCUCCAUUUGUUUGAAACAUGUAAGAUCAUUCCUCAAUUU